GCCAGUCCCCACCAUUGCCAGCUGUGUGGGGCAGUCUGGGAGAGGAGCGCCUCUGCCACUGUAACAACUAGCCUUUGCUGGACUGCCUCGCCCACUCCAGCUGGGGUGCUUCACUUCUGUGAUUGCCUUUAAUGCUCCGAACAGCCCUGGGAAGUAGGGCCGAUCACCUCCAAUUCACAGGUGAGGAGACUAAGUGGCUUGCACGAGGUCACGCAGAUUUGGCGCGCUGGUGCAUUGGUGUCCCCGUCCUAUGCUCUGGGCACACAGGAGGGAGUGAUGUAAAGAGACAGUGAAUGAAGUUGUCCAGGGGCUCAAGCAUACCAGUAGGCAGACUGCGCCCAUCCUCCUGCCAAAAUGGCCCCUUCUCAAAGUCCCAGUGGAGAGAGGGCCAUCCUUCCUGCCCCACUCUGUGCCCUGCCCAUUUGUUGCUGGCUCUGUUUGGAGUCCCCCACACCCCUCAUUCCCCAGCCUCUUUCAUUGUCUUCUCCCUCCUCCCCACUGAGAGGAAUAGCAGUGGCUUUGGCAGGAGGCGUUCCCAUUGUCCUGAGUGGAGAGGGGCAUUCAGGUCCUGAGAGGGCAGGGCAGAUCAUGCCAGGGCCUGUCACCUCUUCCCAGGCUGCAAAGCAGCCUUCUUGGGGCCCAGGCUGGUUUUUUAUACAACA
RNAcentral lists this long non-coding RNA (662 nucleotides) under Homo sapiens (human). RNAcentral describes it as "non-protein coding lnc-SYNC-1:4". Lineage: Eukaryota; Metazoa; Chordata; Mammalia; Primates; Hominidae. The record is from RNAcentral.